Molecule: unclassified non-coding RNA, 405 nt
Filed under: soil metagenome
Description: partial contains 5.8S ribosomal RNA, internal transcribed spacer 2, and large subunit ribosomal RNA
Rfam family: 5.8S ribosomal RNA (bases 1-121)
Source: RNAcentral
GAUGAAGAACGUAGCGAAAUGCGAUAAGUAAUGUGAAUUGCAGAAUUCAGUGAAUCAUCGAAUCUUUGAACGCACCUUGCGCCCUUUGGCCAUUCCGAAGGGCAUGCCUGUUUUAGUAUCAUGAACACCUCAACUCUUUAUGGUUUUCCAUGAUGAGCUUGGACUCUGGGGGUUUUGCUGGCUCACAGUCGGCUCCUCUAAAAUAAAUCAGCUUACCAGUGUUUGGUGGGUAUCAUGGGUGUGAUAACUAUCGACGCUUGUGGUUUUUCCACCAGGUAACCUUCAGCAGUGGAGGUUCGCUGGAGCUCAUAGAUGUCUCUCCUCAGUGAGGACAGCCCUUUGAACGUUUGAUCUCAAAUCAGGUAGGACUACCCGCUGAACUUAAGCAUAUCAAUAAGCGGAGGA